CUAAAACCGAAACAGCUCCGGUUAAAUCCCCCCGCUCAGCUAAAACCCUAGCUUCGGAGAUUGCUUCCGCCGCACGCAACCUAAUUUUCUGUCUAUCAACUUCAACGGACACCACAGGUCUUCCUUCCAACACCGGUCUGAGAAUCUUCACUUCGCCGGAAUUACUCAAAUCAACCGUCUCUUUCGUCACGGGGUCUCUGUAAACGCAUCCAACCUUGAGCAACGACAUUGUAUCCAAAACGCCAUCGAGAACGGGAACAUCAAGAUUCACCAAGAAGUUCCUCUCCUCCUCUGCAUAAAGAUCACCGACUUCGAUCGAACCGGUUCUCGAAUCAAACCGGUAGCUUCCAGCUUUAACCGAACCAAUCUUCAACAUAGGAUGAACACACUCGAUCUUAACGCGCAGCUCUUGAACCAUAACCAUAAGAUGAAAGUACGUAUUGUUAUUAUAAUAUCUUUUAUUAGUAAAAUAAGUAAAUGAAAACUCAAUUUUUAUUAUUAAGCAAGAGAGAGAGUGCGGUAUUUAGUGCGUACCACACCAUAUUAGCCGUAGUAUAUGAAUUUAGCAGUAGUAUAUGAAUGUACCACACCAUAUUAGCAGUAGUAUAUGAAAAGUGAGUUAUUUGCAUGAAACUGAACAAACAAAAAAAUAUUUUUUCAACUGCGUUAUUUCAUGAAAAAACGCUCUUGAUAUUACAUUUCUCUUGAUUGGUGACAUUUACAAUUUUAAGUCACAUCAAGUCCAAAUACCCACCGCACUAUGGUUUCCAUUCAUAACCUAAGAAUAGUUGACAAAAAAAAACGUUGACCAAAAAAAAGUAUAUGGAUAAGAAUAUAUUGAUUUAAUAUAUGUAUGUGUAAGCUAGCUAACACACAAAUAACAGAAGAGCCGAAUUGAAUUGAAUUGAAUUGAAUUGAAUUUGUCAGUAUGAUUUUUCUGAUGGCUGAAGACGACGAAAUUUCCCAUAAAAGUUUUUAACCAGAAAACGUAAAUUGGUACCCAACUAACCAACACGCGGACGUUAAAUAUUGUUAGAAAUACCAACUUCUUAUAAGUUGAUACUAUAUACUGUAGUAAGUCUAGACAUGCAUUUUCUAUUUAGCUUAGAAACUAUACAUAUUCACAUUCUUAUAACUAGAAGUGAUAAACCGAUCUGUUAAUAAAACUAAUAACAGCCUAACAGGUGAUAAACUCAAAGAAAAAUAUUAGGAAAUACAUAACAGUCGUGAAAACUAUUUACAUAGUUCAUCAUUUGGAAAAUAAGGUGUACUAAGGGAAUUUAGCAAAAGCAUAUUAAAUUUUAGCAUAUUUAUGAAAGAACAUUUCUCCACAAUCACAAGAUUCACAACUCACAAAAGCUUAUACCCCCACCAAAACAUUAAGGAAAAAUAACAAAAUUAUAAAUUAUAAUGAGGAAAAAAAAACAAGUCACUCUUACUAAAAAUGCCAAUAUAUACGAUAUACCUAAUACAUUUUUCUUACCACCGAUUCCACAUUUGUCCCGUUUUCUUUUUGUUUCAACCCUCCAGAAGCUAAUCAUUCAACUUAUACCCCCAAAACUGAAAACUUAAACGUAAACUACCCUCCCAAAUUGCAAAACAAAUUUUCAUAAGAAAAAAAAAAACGAAGAAAAUUUUAAAAAUGCAUAAUGUCAGCAAGUAGCUUCCAGCAAUCACCUAGCUCUAGGCCUCGCCGGAAAAGUGAGAGCUUGCCGGAGCUUCCUCCGAGCCGAGGGGCUUGGAUUAGGAUUCGAACUCGAGUUCCCAUUAGAACUAGCCCUAGGGCAUCCAAACGUCAUGGUCUGAGAGAGAUUCACCAUAUCCACCAUCGACUGCGUCUGGUAACUCAUCGUCGUAGUAUCACUCAUGUCACCUCUCGCCGUGGCUCUCUGCCACGAGUGCGAGCUAAGCCCCGCGAGAACGUAAGCCCUGCCAGAACUCUCGUACACUUGACGGCUCGCCAUCCUCUCCUGCGUCUCCUUCAGCUCUGCACACAGCGACACACACAACGCAUCUCCAGCUCUCCCCGACACAGUCUCCGACAAAACCCCACGACAAGUCUCUAAAACCGAAACAGCUCCGGUUAAAUCCCCCCGCUCAGCUAAAACCCUAGCUUCGGAGAUUGCUUCCGCCGCACGCAACCUAAUUUUCUGUCUAUCAACUUCAACGGACACCACAGGUCUUCCAAAAAAAAACAAGUCACUCUUACUAAAAAUGCCAAUAUAUACGAUAUACCUAAUACAUUUUUCUUACCACCGAUUCCACAUUUGUCCCGUUUUCUUUUUGUUUCAACCCUCCAGAAGCUAAUCAUUCAACUUAUACCCCCAAAACUGAAAACUUAAACGUAAACUACCCUCCCAAAUUGCAAAACAAAUUUUCAUAAGAAAAAAAAAAACGAAGAAAAUUUUAAAAAUGCAUAAUGUCAGCAAGUAGCUUCCAGCAAUCACCUAGCUCUAGGCCUCGCCGGAAAAGUGAGAGCUUGCCGGAGCUUCCUCCGAGCCGAGGGGCUUGGAUUAGGAUUCGAACUCGAGUUCCCAUUAGAACUAGCCCUAGGGCAUCCAAACGUCAUGGUCUGAGAGAGAUUCACCAUAUCCACCAUCGACUGCGUCUGGUAACUCAUCGUCGUAGUAUCACUCAUGUCACCUCUCGCCGUGGCUCUCUGCCACGAGUGCGAGCUAAGCCCCGCGAGAACGUAAGCCCUGCCAGAACUCUCGUACACUUGACGGCUCGCCAUCCUCUCCUGCGUCUCCUUCAGCUCUGCACACAGCGACACACACAACGCAUCUCCAGCUCUCCCCGACACAGUCUCCGACAAAACCCCACGACAAGUCUCUAAAACCGAAACAGCUCCGGUUAAAUCCCCCCGCUCAGCUAAAACCCUAGCUUCGGAGAUUGCUUCCGCCGCACGCAACCUAAUUUUCUGUCUAUCAACUUCAACGGACACCACAGGUCUUCCUUCCAACACCGGUCUGAGAAUCUUCACUUCGCCGGAAUUACUCAAAUCAACCGUCUCUUUCGUCACGGGGUCUCUGUAAACGCAUCCAACCUUGAGCAACGACAU
RNAcentral lists this long non-coding RNA (3061 nucleotides) under Brassica napus (rape). RNAcentral's name for it is "long non-coding RNA (BNAP_LNC025501)". The record is from RNAcentral. Lineage: Eukaryota; Viridiplantae; Streptophyta; Magnoliopsida; Brassicales; Brassicaceae.